Molecule: long non-coding RNA, 800 nt
Filed under: Sorghum bicolor (sorghum)
Lineage: Eukaryota; Viridiplantae; Streptophyta; Magnoliopsida; Poales; Poaceae
Description: long non-coding RNA (SBIC_LNC003680)
Source: RNAcentral
GAUGUGCUUCAUUUUGGCUCGGAAAUUAAACAAACUACUAUUGUCGUGGAAUCUGGAUAACUAUUAGUGUCCCUGCAUGCUCUAAAUUACCUGCUGUUGCUCCACUCCAACGAUUGAAAAUCUUGCUUCAGGUUUGAAUUGUCCUAAGUUCUUUUUAACGUUUCAAUUCAACAGUGUAUUCCUUUAUAUAACAAGUAAACAACAUGUUAUGUGCUCAAAUCAACAGUGUAUGCCUUUUGCUACUAUGUUACUGCUCAAAUUAGAUUUCCUGCAUAACCAUUUAUUUUCAAGUGCAGAUUAUCAUCAUAUAUGCUCUAAAUUACUUCAUUUCUGAUUUGCACAGGUCACGUGCUGCUGUUGCUCCACUCGAACGAUUGAAAAUCUUGCUUCAGGUUUGAAUUUUCCUAGGUUCUUUUUAACGUUUCAAUUCAACAGUGUAUUCCUUUAUAUAACAAGUAAACAACCUGUUAUGUGCUCAAAUUAGAUUUCGUGUUAUGUGCUCAAAUCAACCGUGUAUGCCUUUUGCUACUAUGUUACUGCUCAAAUUAGAUUUCCUACAUAAUCAUUUAUUUUCAAGUGGAGAUUAUCAUCAUAUUCUGUAAAACUUGUUUUUCUCAAACCUGUGUAUCACCGAUAUUAAACAUUAUCUUGGUCGUAUCACCGAAAGGUCUAUAAAGUAGAAUUUGUGAACUUAUAACAUCAUGCUCUCCGUGACUAUGUUUGAUUUUAGAAACUUUGCUUCUUUAAUAUAAAUAUCACUUUAUAGCUGGUAUUUAAGUUUUAUUAUAAUAUUAUUAUCU